Long non-coding RNA from Ipomoea triloba (trilobed morning glory), 515 nucleotides. RefSeq lists it as uncharacterized. Lineage: Eukaryota; Viridiplantae; Streptophyta; Magnoliopsida; Solanales; Convolvulaceae. The record is from RefSeq and is a predicted model, not a curated record. The transcript is spliced from 3 exons.
GUCGGCGCUUUCGUUGCAACUCUGUCACCGUACCUCCAGAAACUUCGUCGCCCAUAGCAGAGCUUGGUCAAUGGAGGUUUUCGCCCAUAGCAGCGCCCACUGUGUUCGCCUUCGCAGCCGCCCGUCGCCGUUGCCGUCCCUCCUCGCUGUUUGCUUAUUUCUCGUUGCCGUCGAUGCGCUCCUUGUUGUUUCUAGUCGCCUUCGCCGUAUUUCUACAGUGUGAAAUUGGUGGAGCAAGGGUUAUGGCAGAAAGAAAAUAAGGGAGUGAUUGGGAUUCUCCUUGUUCAGGAUUCCGCAGAGACUAGUACUGUGGAUCCUGCUUUGUCUCCAUAGUGUACCUUGAAAAAUCAAGCUAGCAUAUCAGAUUUAACAAACAUGAUAGAAAAAGUCUGCAGCAAGUUCACUGGCAUAAGUGGUAAAUCUGUCAUAUAUCCUCUUUUGUUUGAAGUGUUAGGGAUUUAUAAUUUAAUGUAAUGUCAGGUUUUUUAUAUUUAGAAAUUGAACUGGUCAAAGUU